CGGCGGCAGCUGAUCUGCUGCCGCUGCAGCUUCCGCCUGUUGUUCACGGCCGCCUCCUGCCUCGGCCUCUUCCUCUCCCUUGCCUUGGAGAGCCCCCCUGAGAUGGAAUAUUGAAUCGAUCGAUCCAUCCUCCCCCUCUCCCUCUCGCUCUGCUCGCCGCCGCCGGGCUCGACCCUCCCUCCGGCGAGCGGUGGCGGAUCUGGCGGCCGUGAAAGGUCUGGUGGCUAGGUGGGGUUUCCGCGACACGCGUUUCAGUUCUGACGUCGAGAUCGCGGAGAAGCAUGGUGAUCCACGACAUGGCCCACCGCACAAAAUGCUCUGCCAUCCCGGAAGACAGUGUGUACGAGAUAUGUCUCCAUACCUAUGACCCGGCAGAUUAUGCUCGCAUGGGAGCAGUGUGCAAGGAAUGAAGCUCAACUCGUCCCCUAUGGCCUCACCUGCCAUUACUUGUUGCUCCCUGUGGUAUUCAGCCGUCUACUCUGAGCGCUCGAUGCGUAGUCACAAGGAAAACCAUCACCCUUCCUGCAAGCUGGAGCUUUUCUCGUAUGACCGCUGCAUCGACGAGUGGCCAUGUCCUCCUGAUGAUUCCAGUAGCUGGCGACAUCGAUCAAUACUGCUUCAUGUGGAUUACUCACAGCUGAUUGGAUACUCACAGCAAACCCUCCCUCGGUUGUCAGAGUAUGGCAAGAUGCAGCAUGGCAAUACCAGUUUCAGAGUUUGUGAGGAUGGGAGAGUUCUGGUUUGCAGGUUCUACAGUGAGGGCAUUAGUAGUGCGUCACCUAUUUUACGGAGCUAGGGCUGCCACAUAGGACGAAGACACAAGAAGAAUAAUAUUUAUCACAAGUCUCACAUUGCUAUGUAGCCUCAAAUAGGAGCCACACAAAAAAAAAUCAUUUCUCUCUCCCAUAUCCUCAGUCUGAUCCCCACCCAGUCCGCCCGCGCGCUUCUCCAUCUCCGCCCGCACGCCUCCCCUAUUCUCCGGCCGCCGCGCCUCCCCUUCCUCCUCCUGCGCGGCCGGUGAGAUUCCCCUUUGCGCGGCGCGGCGAACGAUGGCGGCGGCGUGAAGCGGCUCGGCGGACGGUGACGAUGGCACGGACGGCCUGAGCAGCAACGCCGACACCGGGCGGCCCAUGCGGCGACGACGCCAGCGGCAGAUCAGGAGCUCGACGGUGCUGGUCGGUGGGGCGGCUCGAGCGCCUCCCCUCCUCCUCCUCUUCUGGCCGCCGCAGAUCGAGGCGGCGCGGCAGCUCGAGCGCCUCCCCUCCUCCUCUUCCGGCCGGAUCCCCAUCCAUUCGGUGGCAGCAGCGUUGAAUCGGCGGGAGCGAGCUCGGCGAGGGACGGAGUGCGUGGAUCUGGCGGUGGGGGCCGAUGAGCUCGGCGAAGGACGGUGGACGCGGGUCGGGUGGUGAGGGACGACGGACGCGGGUUGGGCGGCGAGGGACAGCGGAGCUCCUUUCUCCCCGUCGGCGGCUGGUGAGCUUCCCCUUUGCGCCCGACAGUCCUCCUUCCUCCUCUGGCCGACGAGAUCGGCGGCGUGGAGCACAAGGAUGACCGUUCUCUCUCCUCCCUCUCUCAUCCUUGACGCGCCGUGGGUCCUACCUACGACCGAGGAACCCGUAGCCAAAGUUUGCUACGCGUUCCUAGGGAGGCCGCGCGGAUAGACGACGUGGAACGGAAUAUUCGUAUUUUUGUGCUGAGGCCAAAUGCCACAGAGAUGCACUGUGAAUGACCUGAGGAGGAUCGUCCGGGUCUCUAUGCUGCUGCACAAUAACCCCACAUGGCUGCAUACUCAGAUUAUUUGGCCUGACCUGGCCCUGUUUAGUUCCCAAAAACUUUUCACAAAAACAUCACAUCGAAUCUUUGGACACAUGUAUAGAGCAUUAAAUAUAGAUAAAAAGAAAAACUAAUUGCACAAUUUGUAUGUAAAUGGCGAGACGAAUCUUUUGAGCCUAAUUAGUCCAUGAUUAGCCAUAAGUGUUACAGUAACCUACAUGUGCUAAUGGCAGUUUAAUUAGGCUCAAAAAGUUCGUCUCGUAGUUUUCAGGCGAGUUAUGAAAUUAGUUUUUCCAUUCAUGUCUAAAAACCUCUUCCGACAUCCAGUUAAAUGUCUGAUGUAACACCUAAAAUUUUUUAUUUCACCAA
This is a non-coding RNA of Oryza sativa Japonica Group (Japanese rice), 2142 nucleotides long. The record is from RefSeq and is a predicted model, not a curated record. Lineage: Eukaryota; Viridiplantae; Streptophyta; Magnoliopsida; Poales; Poaceae.